Molecule: ribosomal RNA, 253 nt
Filed under: uncultured bacterium
Lineage: Bacteria
Description: partial 16S ribosomal RNA
Rfam family: Bacterial small subunit ribosomal RNA
Source: RNAcentral
UACAGAGGGUGCGAGCGUUAAUCGGAAUUACUGGGCGUAAAGCGUGCGUAGACGGUUAUUUAAGUCGGAUGUGAAAGCCCUGGGCUCAACCUGGGAAUGGCACUCGAUACUGGGAAGCUGGAGUGCGGUAGAGGAGGGUGGAAUUCCCGGUGUAGCGGUGAAAUGCGUAGAGAUCGGGAGGAACAUCAGUGGCGAAGGCGACCCUCUGGACCAGCACUGACGCUGAGGCACGAAAGCGUGGGGAGCAAACAGG